GACGAACGCUGGCGGCGUGCUUAACACAUGCAAGUCGAACGGAAAGGCCUGCUUUCCCUUGUGUAUUGCGGGUACUCGCGUGGCGAACGGGUGAGUAACACGUGAGUGAUCUGCCCCCAACUUGGGUAUAAGCCUGGGAAACUGGGUCUAAUUCCCGAUAGGACUGCAGGGUGGUGCCUGUGGUGGAAAACGAUUUUCUAGUGGUUGGGGCUUAUCUCGCGGCCUAUCAGCUUGUUGGUGGGGUAAUGGCCUACCAAGGCGGGGACGGGUAGCCGGCCUGGGAGGGUGGACGGGCAAAGUGGGACGGAGAUACGGGGCAGAAGACUACGGGAGGCAGCAGUGGGGAAGAUGGAACAAGGGGCGGAAGACUGAGGCAGCGAGGCCGCGGGGGGGAUGACGGGUUUCGGGUUGUAAACUCCUUUCGACCGCGAGGAAGCCACCUGGUUGGAAGGGUGGUGACGGUAGUGGGAGAAGAAGCACCGGCUAACUACGUG
RNAcentral lists this ribosomal RNA (494 nucleotides) under uncultured bacterium. RNAcentral's name for it is "partial 16S ribosomal RNA". It matches the Rfam family "Bacterial small subunit ribosomal RNA", at positions 28 to 507 of the family's 1533-position model. The record is from RNAcentral.